ACAUUCCUAGCAUGUUGGUUA
Molecule: microRNA, 21 nt
Filed under: Parasteatoda tepidariorum (common house spider)
Lineage: Eukaryota; Metazoa; Arthropoda; Arachnida; Araneae; Theridiidae
Description: pte-miR-11947b-5p
Source: miRBase by way of RNAcentral